RNAcentral lists this ribosomal RNA (533 nucleotides) under Sungouiella blattae. Its description in RNAcentral is "[Candida] blattae partial large subunit ribosomal RNA". It matches the Rfam family "Eukaryotic large subunit ribosomal RNA", at positions 70 to 677 of the family's 3401-position model. The record is from RNAcentral. Lineage: Eukaryota; Fungi; Ascomycota; Pichiomycetes; Serinales; Metschnikowiaceae.
AGGGGUAGCUACGGCGAGUGAAGCGGCAAAAGCUCAAAUUUGAAAUCCUUCGGGAGUUGUAAUUUGAAGGUGAAGGGACCGCGGUAGAUGAUGAUUAAAGUCCCUUGGAACAGGGCGCCUUAGAGGGUGAGAGCCCCGUACAGUCAUCCAUCUUCCUCUUAUGUUCUUUCUCCAACGAGUCGAGUUGUUUGGGAAUGCAGCUCAAAGUGGGUGGUAAAUUCCAUCUAAAGCUAAAUACCGGCGAGAGACCGAUAGCGAACAAGUACCGUGAGGGAAAGAUGAAAAGCACUUUGAAAAGAGAGUGAAACAGUACGUGAAAUUGUUGAAAGGGAAGGGCUUGCAAGCAGACACAACCCUCGUGGUUGGGCCAGCAUCGGUUGCUAGGGGUGGAUAAGGCGGCGGGAAUGUAGCUUCCUCGGAAGUAUUAUAUCCCGCUGAGAUACACCCACCGGCGACCGAGGCCUGCGAUUCUAAAUCAAGGAUGCUGGCGUAAUGGUUGCAAGCCGCCCGUCUUGAAACACGGACCAAAUGCA